Xylaria arbuscula is the source of this 100-nucleotide non-coding RNA. NCBI's taxonomy places the organism in Eukaryota, Fungi, Ascomycota, Sordariomycetes, Xylariales, Xylariaceae. The record is from the annotation of a GenBank genome assembly.
UCCGAAUUGGUGUAGUGGCUAACAUUUGACGCUCUCAUUCCCACCUAUCAGGUGAUAGAAAGUUACCGUCAAGCCCGGGGUUCGAUUCCCCGAUUCGGAG